GACGAACGCUGGCGGCGUGCUUAACACAUGCAAGUCGAACGAAAAUACCAAGCUUGCUUGGUUGAUUAGUGGCGAACGGGUGAGUAACACGUGAGUAACCUGCCCCUUACUUUCCUGGAUAACUGCUCGAAAGGGUAGCUAAUACGGGAUAUUCUGACCAGCCUGCAUGGGUUGGUUUGGAAAGGUUGUUUUUCUGGUAAGGGAUGGGCUCGCGGCCUAUCAGCUUGUUGGUGGGGUGAUGGCCUACCAAGGCUUUGACGGGUAGCCGGCCUGAGAGGGUGGACGGUCACGCUGGGACUGAGAUACGGCCCAGACUCCUACGGGAGGCAGCAGUGGGGAAUAUUGCACAAUGGGCGCAAGCCUGAUGCAGCGACGCCGCGUGAGGGAUGAAGGCCUUCGGGUUGUAAACCUCUUUCGUCAGGGAACAAGGCACUGCUUUUUUGGUGGUGUUGAGGGUACCUGGAUAAGAAGCGCCGGCUAACUACGUG
This 488-nucleotide ribosomal RNA is filed under the name uncultured bacterium. RNAcentral's name for it is "partial 16S ribosomal RNA". It matches the Rfam family "Bacterial small subunit ribosomal RNA", at positions 28 to 507 of the family's 1533-position model. The record is from RNAcentral.